RNAcentral lists this long non-coding RNA (695 nucleotides) under Brassica rapa (field mustard). Its description in RNAcentral is "long non-coding RNA (BRAP_LNC003228)". The record is from RNAcentral. Lineage: Eukaryota; Viridiplantae; Streptophyta; Magnoliopsida; Brassicales; Brassicaceae.
UAAGAACCAUUUAAGAGGAAAAAAACAUAUGUAUAUAGGUGACGUGUGUCUGAACGUGAAAUGUACUACUAGCGAGUAUGUGCGGGUGGAGAAGAAGAGAAUGGCGUUGGGCUCAAAAUGGUAUGGACGUCAGAAACGAUGUUGUAUUUGAUAGGUUACACUAGAGGCUAACACGGUAUGGGGUUGGACUUUAGAGUUACCUGUGAAUGCAACAUUAUUUUGAUUUUCCAUUAAAUAUUCGAUUCAUUUAUAAUUCCCUUUUUUUUUUUUUUUGGUCAACAUUAUUUUCCAUUAAAUAUUCGAUUCCAUUUAUAAUUCCCUUAUACCAAAACACUGUCAUUUAAUUUGUAGUUCUUUUUUGGUCAACUACUAGUAAAAGCCAAAUUCAAGUUUUCCAUUGAUUUGUAUGGUCUCAGUCGAGUAUAAAACGGACAUUUGGAGAAGACUAGUUGUGGUAGAGUUCGCGGCUACUUGUCGCUGAGACAACCAUUAGUAUUGUUUGUUGAUAAUGCUAUCAUUAUCACAGCUUCAGUUUCUUUGAGGGUUACAAACAAGACGGGCCAGCUUCAAUUAGUACUCCUCCGUUUCCGAAAAUAAAAUGUUUUAGAUUUUUUACUUGUUCUACAAAGAAGAUUUUUUAUAUGUUUAAGGUAUUUUUUUAUAUUAUUAAGAAACGUUAAAUGAAAAUAUUUGAA